UAGGGGUAUAGCUCAAUUGGUAGAGUAGCGGUCUCCAAAACCGUUGGUUCCGGGUUCAAGUCCUCGUGCCCCUGCCAU
RNAcentral lists this transfer RNA (78 nucleotides) under Clostridium botulinum A str. Hall. RNAcentral describes it as "tRNA-Trp". It matches the Rfam family "tRNA". From Rfam's summary of the family: Transfer RNA (tRNA) molecules are approximately 80 nucleotides in length. Their secondary structure includes four short double-helical elements and three loops (D, anti-codon, and T loops). RNAcentral also lists the same sequence under 6 other names. The record is from RNAcentral. Lineage: Bacteria; Bacillati; Bacillota; Clostridia; Eubacteriales; Clostridiaceae.